CAGUCCCCCGCCCUGUUUGGGCUUCUCUCAUCUUGUUACCCACAUUGAACUUCAUAGUCAGCUGUUUCAGGGAACAAAUGCCUGUCACCAUGACACCUUGUGCCCUUUCUCUUCUACUGCUCCCCACUCUUGGGUCUGCCCUCCCCCAGGAUGCUGGAAUUGGCUGGGUACCAGACAAGGCUUGGGAGGUGAGCCCAGCAGUCCCGAUGGGAGGCUUUGUGACUUCAGGCAGUGAGCCUCAAGUCUCUGAGGCUCAGUUUCCUUACUAAUAAAGGGAGAUCACCAGGAGCAAUCAUCUCCAGCAGCAGCAGCAUCCUCCAGGAGGGUCGUGAGAAUUAAAUGAGAUACAAUGAGAGCAUGACCUGCCAAAUGGUGCCAUGUCUGCACCCGGGAUCCAAACCAGUGAACCCCAGGCCACCAAAGUGGAACGUGCACACUUAACCUCUGUGCCACCAGGUCGGCCCCAAAAAUUGUCCUUCAAGGAUGGGAGGCUCGGAGCAGCUGCAGCCAUUUAGCGACCAUGAGGGGAAAACUUCUGAUGCGUGGAAGAGGCAGAACUGAGAGAAGAGAAACAAGGAAGAGGCCUUGAUGACCACGGAGAGCUGUCCGUGGUGACCAUCAACCUUCACACUUCUUAGGAGAGAUCAUAAAAUGUCUGCUUUGCUCAAACCACCACUGAGCAGCUGUUCUCUUACAGGAGGAACAGCCAAAUGCAUCUUCACUGAAAGGGCGUGGACACAGGGAUGCGAAACACAGGGCUCUGGCAGCAGCCGGGUUGAGAUCAGUCCCGGCUCCGCCACUUUCAGGCUGUGUGGCCUUAGGAGGUCCUGUUCUGAAAUCUCAGCUCCCCGCCUGUAAAAAUGAAGCUAACUGGGAUACCCACCUCACAGGGCUCCUGUGGGGGGAAACGAGAAGAGAAAAUUUAGGCAGGCAUUUUGCACACAGUGGUUGGUCCAUCUCAAAAUUCAAUUUGUUUAUUCAUCCAUGAAUUUAUUCAGCAGUAAUUCUUGAACAUCUACUAUGUACUUGGACAUAGUGUGGACUAAUCUAGAGUCAGAAGAUGUAGCUAUGAAAAAAUUAAUAAUAG
This 1087-nucleotide long non-coding RNA is filed under the name Equus asinus (donkey). RNAcentral describes it as "lncRNA (ENSEASG00005025592.1)". Lineage: Eukaryota; Metazoa; Chordata; Mammalia; Perissodactyla; Equidae. The record is from RNAcentral.